This 447-nucleotide ribosomal RNA is filed under the name uncultured bacterium. Its description in RNAcentral is "bacterial SSU rRNA". It matches the Rfam family "Bacterial small subunit ribosomal RNA", at positions 355 to 825 of the family's 1533-position model. The record is from RNAcentral.
UCGGGAAUUUUGGGCAAUGGGGGAAACCCUGACCCAGCAACGCCGCGUGAAGGAUGAAGUAUUUCGGUAUGUAAACUUCGAAAGAAUAGGAAGAAUAAAUGACGGUACUAUUUAUAAGGUCCGGCUAACUACGUGCCAGCAGCCGCGGUAAUACGUAGGGACCAAGCGUUGUUCGGAUUUACUGGGCGUAAAGGGCGCGUAGGCGGCAUGACAAGUCACUUGUGAAAUCUCUGGGCUUAACCCAGAACGGCCAAGUGAUACUGUCGCGCUAGAGUGCAGAAGGGGCAAUCGGAAUUCUUGGUGUAGCGGUGAAAUGCGUAGAUAUCAAGAGGAACACCUGAGGUGAAGACGGGUUGCUGGGCUGACACUGACGCUGAGGCGCGAAAGCCAGGGGAGCAAACGGGAUUAGAUACCCGGGUAGUCCCUGAGCGGGCUGGCAAGGCGCAU